Molecule: small nuclear RNA, 98 nt
Filed under: Meriones unguiculatus (Mongolian gerbil)
Lineage: Eukaryota; Metazoa; Chordata; Mammalia; Rodentia; Muridae
Source: RNAcentral
GUGCUCAGCACAUAUCCUAAAGUUGGAAUGAUAUAGAGAAGAUUAGAAUGCCCCUGCACAAGGAUGAUGCGCAAAUUCAUGAAGCAUUCCAUAUUUUU